ACCAGUCUGUAUAGAGUUAAAAUGGAAUAAAAAUGCAUACCUCAUAUAUACAGUUUAGUACAAUUACACACUGAUUUCUAGUCAAUAUGGCACACAAUAUGGAAGCUAUUGAAGAAAACAUUUAAUAUUAAAAUUAUUUAAAAUAUUGAAUAUGAGUUGACAUUUUAAUAGAGGGUAGUGUGUGUCAUGUAAAAGCAUGAACUACCACUUUUUUGUAUCAGUUGGUCACAAGGCAUUUAUUAACAUUUGUUUGACAGGAGUGUUCUUUUCGGAAAUUUGUUGACAGGCCCUAAGUGAACCUCCGAGUGCUGAGGAGGGAGCUGGAGAGCGGCUGGCAGAAAUUAGCGUUCAUAAAUCGGAUCAACCUUGAGCUAAACGCCGCUUGCUCGGCGGACAUUGGAAUAUGCAAUAUCCAACUCGAAACUAAAUUCACUGCAGUCAGUAACACAACAAAACCACCAGGAUAUAGUUUGUUUUGGACUGUGGCCUGUAAAGAUGGCACCGAGCGACUGCACGAAACGUAAACACCCCUCAACGUCUGACGCAGUGACGUUGGUUCAAAGCUCUAUUGCCCAAUAAUAGAGGAGCUGACAUAGAAAGCAGCUCCCUUCAUUAACAUAAAGAUGCACACGGAGAAGCAGAAAAAGGAGAGGAGGCAAUGACAAAAGAACGAGGGCUUGUAUAAGAAAAAGACAAAACAAUUUAUCUACUUUUCUUGACAAAAACGCAUGUUUAGGGGAAAUGAAAAAGAAAAUGUAUACAUUUCUUGAUGGAAACUCAUGUCUAAGGACAAGGAAAAACUAUAUUUAUGCUUUUAUUUCUUAUUACGUAAGUUUUGGUCCUCCAUAAUAGUAUGUUAGCCUAAUGGCAAUUUAUUUGUUAUUGCAGACUGCUGGCAACACUUUUUGGCCAUUUUUUUCCAGUAACGAGUAAUCUAACGUGUUACUAUUUCAAAUCCAGUAGUCAGACUACAGUUACUUAACGAAAACACUUUGCGUUACUGUGCGUUACUAUUUUCCUUUGUAAUUUAAUUUAAUUUCCUCUUGGGGAGCAACCGCCGUUUCUAUGCGACAUUAUCAGCAGCGACAGAAAUGUAGACAAUGUAGGGGAGGAGGGAGGUGCGCACUUUGUUGCUGGAAAAACAGAAACUAUUUUGAGUUUCUGUCACCAAGUCCAAUUAUUGUAAGCGGCUUUGGGCUUGUUUUUUUCUAAAGUUGCUUGCAAAUUUAAUGCUUUUAAACGUGUAGUUGCUUAUUUGGGCUUGGAAAUAAGCAAACAUAAACCCCAGAAUUUGUCUGUCAUCCAGGUAGUUUUAGUCAGACUCUCCCUCUUUCUUGGAUGAUCCGUCCCGCUGUGUCUUUAUCAAGUUAAUAUAUUUGCUGUGAAUGACGUUGAGCUAAUAUGAACAACAUGAAAACAUCCACGAAUGAACCUGUUCGCAAAGUUGUGCAACUAAACGCCAUUAUAAUUAUUAUAUUAAGAUAAGUGUCAGAAAUCUGUACAGCCAUCUGAGUUGCAGCAGGAGGAGCUCUGUGCGCUAUGACACCAAACGCAGGGCCGUAACCCAGAACCUGGAGGCUGGGGCCGGGAGGGGGGAACUCUAAAAUCCUUCUUAGAGUUUUCCAGACAGUGGAGCACACAAAAGCACACACAAAUUACUAAAAAAAAUUUUUGUACUGUUGUAACCAUUAACCAAUCUCGCCUUCAGUUCAACCAUAUAAAUGGAGACACAUUGUUGACGUUACCAUUAUAAAAUACCUGCAAUUAAGUUUUGGCAUAGAUCAAUGUAAUUUUCACAGGUGGUGGAGUGUUGUUGUUAGCAGCUGCUGAAAGUAACUAAAAAUGUUACUUUUAAUGUAACUUAGUUAC
Molecule: long non-coding RNA, 1869 nt
Organism: Poecilia latipinna (sailfin molly)
Lineage: Eukaryota; Metazoa; Chordata; Actinopteri; Cyprinodontiformes; Poeciliidae
Exons: 3
Source: RefSeq, a predicted model, not a curated record